GACUAAGGUUUCCUGGGGAAGGCUCGUCCGCCCAGGGUUAGUCGGGACCUAAGCCGAGGCCGACAGGCGUAGGCGAUGGACAACAGGUUGAUAUUCCUGUACCCGUUGUUUUUGUUUGAGCAAUGGAGGGACGCAGGAGGCUAAGAAGUGCAGACUGAUGGAUAUGUCUGUUCAAGCAGUAAGUCUUGGUAGGAGUCAAAUGCUUCUACCUAUACGGACAAGCUGUGAUGAGGAGGGAAAUAAUAGUACCGAAGCUUCUGAUGUCACACUGCCAAGAAAAGCUUCUAGUGAGAAAACAACGGCCCGUACCGCAAACCGACACAGGUAGUCGAGGAGAGAAUCCUAAGGUGAGCGAGAGAACUCUCGUUAAGGAACUCGGCAAAAUGACCCCGUAACUUCGGGAGAAGGGGUGCUGCUCUAACGAGCAGCCGCAGUGAAUAGGCCCAAGCGACUGUUUAUCAAAAACACAGGUCUCUGCAAAAUCGAAAGAUGACGUAUAGGGGCUGACGCCUGCCCGGUGCUGGAAGGUUAAGAGGAGUGCUUAGCGUAAGCGAAGGUA
Molecule: ribosomal RNA, 559 nt
Filed under: Listeria monocytogenes
Lineage: Bacteria; Bacillati; Bacillota; Bacilli; Caryophanales; Listeriaceae
Description: partial 23S ribosomal RNA
Rfam family: Bacterial large subunit ribosomal RNA
Source: RNAcentral